This 405-nucleotide ribosomal RNA is filed under the name uncultured bacterium. RNAcentral describes it as "bacterial SSU rRNA". It matches the Rfam family "Bacterial small subunit ribosomal RNA", at positions 355 to 776 of the family's 1533-position model. The record is from RNAcentral.
UGGGGAAUAUUGCACAAUGGGCGAAAGCCUGAUGCAGCGACGCCGCGUGAACGAAGAAGUAUUUCGGUAUGUAAAGUUCUAUCAGCAGGGAAGAAAAAUGACGGUACCUGACUAAGAAGCUCCGGCUAAAUACGUGCCAGCAGCCGCGGUAAUACGUAUGGAGCAAGCGUUAUCCGGAUUUACUGGGUGUAAAGGGAGCGUAGGCGGUGGUUUAAGUCUGAUGUGAAAGCCCGGGGCUCAACUCCGGUAUUGCAUUGGAAACUGAAUCACUAGAGUGUCGGAGGGGUAAGUGGAAUUCCUAGUGUAGCGGUGAAAUGCGUAGAUAUUAGGAGCAACACCAGUGGCGAAGGCGGCUUACUGGACGAUUACUGACGCUGAGGCUCGAAAGCGUGGGGAGCAAACAGG